Long non-coding RNA from Nerophis ophidion (straightnose pipefish), 1270 nucleotides. RefSeq lists it as uncharacterized. NCBI's taxonomy places the organism in Eukaryota, Metazoa, Chordata, Actinopteri, Syngnathiformes, Syngnathidae. The record is from RefSeq and is a predicted model, not a curated record. The transcript is spliced from 5 exons.
CAUUUAAAUUAAUUGUUUAUUCCAUUUGUACCGCUUACCUAAGUAUUAUCUUUAUUUGUUAACUUAUUCCAAAUGAACACGCAAAUAUACGCUUUUUAUUCCCCAAACGGCGCAUUAGUUGUUUGUCGAAAGUGCCAGCUAGCAUCUAACCCCUUCUUAUUUAUUUAGCACUGGCAGCUAACAUGAGGACACUUUUGUGGAAGUUUUCCAACAAUGUGAUUUAUUCUUUUCUUUAAUAGCAGCGCCACUGGACGUAACUCUUCAACUGCUGUGCUGGGACUCUCAAUAAACGAGCUGGUUAGUGCCACCUCAACACAGGAUGGUGCCAAAGAGCUGUGGAAAAAACAAGUUGGGACUGUCAAGGGAUUUCCAGACAAGAGGGUGCACAGGAGUGUGUCGCCAUCCACGGACCACGGGGCGUGUCCAACAGGUGCAAAGUGGACACAAGCUCAGCUGUCCCGGCGAUGAAAUGGGGAAAUUCCCGCCACCUCCACUCGAAUCAACCAACAAUGAGCGGUACCACUGUCGAAUGGGUUCUACAAAUUACCCAGCUCAUGAUUUCUGGAGAUAGAAUUUAGUCGUGAUAAAUAGAGGACUGACCUGCGGUAUGAUGGACAUCCUCUGGCGAAGAGUAUGCAGGCCAACAUCAGACGUCUGGAAACCAUCAAUCACUAUCCUGCCCUCGGGUUCAGCCAGGCGGAACAAGGCCGAUAUCAGAGAGCUCUUACCAGCGCCGGUUCGUCCCACAAUGCCCACCUACAGGGGGACAAAUGGAGAACUAAGUCAUACGCUACAAUAAAUCCUGCGGAAAAAAGACAAAUUGCUGCCAUGCUGCCUUUUUGACUAUUCAUCACUUGGCUUUUUGUGGAAGUGUCAUGUCUCUGAGGGGCCAUGUCAUCGGACAACUGGUGUGAAAGAACAGCAAAGGAAUGAGACUGACUGGAAAGAGUUCAUAUUUUAACUUCCGACAGUUAUGCGUUAGUUUUGAAUUCGUAUGUCGUCUCAUAAACUUAUGUUUCAGCUGGGCUUCCACCGAACUACAAAUGCUCACAGAACACCAACGUCUUAUAAACUUAUGUCUUAGCUGGGCUUCCACCGAACUACAAAUAUUCACAGAACACCAAAACCAGUCCAAUAAUUAUAACUACAAAAUUCUGAAAAUGAUGCCAGUAACACUUCACGGUAUGCAUUUUAACAAUUUAGUGUCUGAUCAGAUCAGAAAAUUAUUGGUAUACAUUGUAAAAUAUAUGCUUCAAUGUGUAUUAAAGUA